AGGAUUCAGUCUGGAGUUGCCGUCGCGCUGGUCGGGGGCUUCCCCGGGGCCGUCCGACCGCGAAGGCCAGACGCAUUUGUCUCCCGCUCGAAGGACGCCGCAACCGGUCGGGCAGUGCAAACGUGACGGCCUGGAAGGCGGACGAUGGCAGGUGGCCGGUGGCCGUCUUAAAUGAUGGUCGCCGGUUGUUAGCCGGUCCGUCGGUGGCCCGUCGCCCGACCGAGGUAUCGAGAUGCCCUUUACGGGCGUCCGCGCCUCCUCCUCGUCGGGACGUGCCGUCGCGAGCGAAGGCAGCCGCGCGGCCGCACUCCGUCGGAGUGGGCCAGCGGCCGUCGGUGACGGAGGACCCGUUGGAGGUCGGAGGUUGGCGGCGAGUAGGUCGGUCACCCACCCGACCCGUCUUGAAACACGGACCAAGGAGUCUAACAUGUGCGCGAGUCAAUGGGUCUCGAAUAAGCCCAGAGGCGCAAUGAAAGCGAAGGUCGGCACCACGCCGUCCGAGUCGGGAUGGGCGCACCGACGACCCGUCCUACGCGGCUUGCCGCUUGGGCGGAGUGUGAGCGUACACGUUGGGACCCGAAAGAUGGUGAACUAUGCCC
This 599-nucleotide ribosomal RNA is filed under the name Tetralycosa oraria. Its description in RNAcentral is "eukaryotic LSU rRNA". The stretch from base 413 to 599 matches the Rfam family "Eukaryotic large subunit ribosomal RNA", at positions 665 to 838 of the family's 3401-position model. The record is from RNAcentral. Lineage: Eukaryota; Metazoa; Arthropoda; Arachnida; Araneae; Lycosidae.